AACGAACGCUGGCGGCAGGCCUAACACAUGCAAGUCGAGCGGACCCUUCGGGGUUAGCGGCGGACGGGUGAGUAACGCGUGGGAAUAUGCCCUUCUCUACGGAAUAGUCCUGGGAAACUGGGGGUAAUACCGUAUACGCCCUUUGGGGGAAAGAUUUAUCGGGGAAGGAUUAGCCCGCGUUGGAUUAGGUAGUUGGUGGGGUAAUGGCCUACCAAGCCGACGAUCCAUAGCUGGUUUGAGAGGAUGAUCAGGCACACUGGGACUGAGACACGGCCCAGACUCCUACGGGAGGCAGCAGUGGGGAAUCUUAGACAAUGGGGGCAAACCUGAUCUAGCCAUGCCGCGUGAGUGAUGAAGGCCUUAGGGUUGUAAAGCUCUUUCAGCUGGGAAGAUAAUGACGGUACCAGCAGAAGAAGCCCCGGCUAACUCCGUG
RNAcentral lists this ribosomal RNA (433 nucleotides) under uncultured bacterium. RNAcentral describes it as "partial 16S ribosomal RNA". It matches the Rfam family "Bacterial small subunit ribosomal RNA", at positions 29 to 507 of the family's 1533-position model. The record is from RNAcentral.